RNAcentral lists this ribosomal RNA (489 nucleotides) under uncultured bacterium. RNAcentral's name for it is "partial 16S ribosomal RNA". It matches the Rfam family "Bacterial small subunit ribosomal RNA", at positions 29 to 507 of the family's 1533-position model. The record is from RNAcentral.
AUUGAACGCUGGCGGCAGGCCUAACACAUGCAAGUCGAACGGUAACAGGAAGAAGCUUGCUUCUUUGCUGACGAGUGGCGGACGGGUGAGUAAUGUCUGGGAAACUGCCUGAUGGAGGGGGAUAACUACUGGAAACGGUAGCUAAUACCGCAUAACGUCGCAAGACCAAAGAGGGGGACCUUCGGGCCUCUUGCCAUCGGAUGUGCCCAGAUGGGAUUAGCUAGUAGGUGGGGUAACGGCUCACCUAGGCGACGAUCCCUAGCUGGUCUGAGAGGAUGACAGCCACACUGGGAACGGAGACACGGCCCGACUCCCUACGGGGGGCAGCGGUGGGGAAUUUGGCACAAUGGGGGCAAGCCGAAUGCAGCCAGGCGGCGUGAAGGAGGAAGGCCUUGGGGUGUUAAGUACUUUCAGCGGGGAGGAAGGGAGUAAAGUUAAUACCUUUGCUCAUUGACGUUACCCGCAGAAGAAGCACCGGCUAACUCCGUG